Molecule: long non-coding RNA, 2065 nt
Filed under: Sus scrofa (pig)
Lineage: Eukaryota; Metazoa; Chordata; Mammalia; Artiodactyla; Suidae
Description: lncRNA (ENSSSCG00030048124.1)
Source: RNAcentral
AGAUAAGAUCAGCUUGAUUCCCAGACAAUACAAUCUCCCUGAAUUGGAGCAACCCUCCAGCAAGCUGGGAGGAAGGGAAGAGCUGGGGGAUUCUGGGGUCUGCAGGGUGUGAGUCGCUAAGCUACUGCUCAGGGCCACUUCCUCCAGGAAGCCCUCCCUGAAUUCUCCUGCCCACCCUUCUCAGGACUCGGAGAGUGCCAGGGUGUGUGACCAGCGUGGAACUGAUUCCAUAAAUGCUAAGACUACACCUGGCACAAUGCUGGCUGCCUGGCAGGCACCCUGUAAAUUAAAGUGCUACCAGCCAGAACAACCUCAGCCCAUGAGCUAAGCAAGUCUGUACGCCUCCCAUACAAAUGAGAUCACUGAGGCCGAGAGGGGUUAAGCUGCUUGCUUGGAGCAGGAAAUAUCUGGUCCAGCCUGGCUCGCAGCCCUUCCUGCCCCACUCCUGUUACCUGCCCUAUGCUGCAGGCAUCACUUGUCGCCGGAGCCAGCUCCUCCGCCUUCAGACCCCAGGCCAGGAGCUAAGAAUAUCUCCAAGCGUCUUCCCCGACACCUGCAGCAGAUGUGCCCACAAAUUACCUGGUCCCAGCGGUAGGGAGCAGGCAAGGAAAGGGCAGCGUUUUCCUAAAAGCAUUGCACAUUUAAUUUGCAAAGUUACAUCACACAUUCGUGCACAGGGCAGCUUUUGGGAGCUGAUUUCAACGCUAGAGGCGGGUUGGGUAUCCCGGGUGUGACCUUUACAGGUUGGCAGGGCGGGUUUGGGGGGCAUGUAGACACCUGUGAGUGUCAGAUACUCUCACACGUGGGGCAGAUGGGGAGAGACAGAUAUUCCAGGGGCCCCUUCUCUGCAAGUGCUCACUGGGCACCUCCACAGGCGUCAUCUCACUUCUUCCCGAAAGAAACCCAGCCAAGUGUGCCUGAGCCUGGCUGCAUCUCACGAGGUCUCGUGUCUUCCCAUCCCUUACAGACCAUGUGACAUGCGCAGACCCUGAACUUGAACCCAGGUGUCCAGACUCCUAAACCCACAUUUUCCCACCACCCAGUGCAGUUAAGAAAUGUGAACAGGGUUGACAGGUAUUAUGUAUACAGAGGGUAAAAGCACAUGCACAUCUAGCUGCACCUUUUAAAAAUUAUUGGAUGGGCCUGGGUACUUUAUUUAUGAGCGUCACAGGAAAAGCUGUGGAACUUGUGUGAGAUUUCAGCCCGGAGUGCGUCAAGAAUUGUCCACAGCAGUAGUGAAACUGCAAGUGGUCGAAAUGAGUAAGACUGAGUUCUAUCGAGAGUCCCACUGAGUCCAGCUCACUCAAUUGAUGAAUUAAUUGUCUUGAAUUAUUAUCAGUAAUUUUAGGGCUUUGAAAAAUUAACUCGAGGUAGUUUUAUCUCAGAAGACACCAUUUAGAAGUUGUCGUGGCUUCCUCCUGGAUCUCGCAGAGAACUCUACACAGUGUUCUGUGGUGAUCUGUGUGGGAGAGGAAGCUGAAAGAGAAUGGAUGUGUGUACGUGUGUAAUGGAAUCACUUUGUUGUACAGCAGAAAUUAGCACAAACUUGACAUCAAUCAAAUCAACUGUAUAUUAAUAAAAGUUGAAAAAGUAAAAAAAAAAGUCUAUUUGGUUCCUAAAAUUAAUAUUAGAUACAUUACAAAGUUAAAACCCUAGUUCUUCCUUAUGCUUUUAAACUAUGCUUAAAAUUAUAUUAUUCUAUUUAUUUUCUUAGUGAUUUUUUAUUGUGAUAAAGUACAUAUAACAUAAAAUUUGUUUUAAUAAUUUUUUUGCUUUUUUUUUGUCUUUUUGCCUUUUCUAGGGCUGUGUCCACGGCAUAUGGAGGUUCCCAGGCUAGGGGUCUAAUCGGAGCUGUAGCCACUGGCCUAUGCCAGAGCCAUAGCAAUGCGGGAUCUGAGCCGUGUCUGCGAACUGCACCACAGCUCAUGGCAACGCCAGAUCCUUAACCCACUGAGCAAGGCCAGGGAUCAAACCCGCAACCUCAUGGUUCCUAGUCAGAUUCGUUAACCACUGUGCCACGAUGAGAACGCCUAAUUUUUUUUUUGCUUUUUAUGGCUGUACCUGC